UAUAGCACUGAAAGCAUAAGCUAGCUAGCACUGCAGUGCAUAAAAUGUGGUGAGUAGUUGACUCAAAGAGAUAGAAAGACAACAGUUGAACAGUUUUGAACAAAUUAUUGCAUUCUUGAAGGAGGAGCAAGAGCGAGAGAGAGAGAGAGAUCGCUAGCUAUAUUUCGUCAUUUAUUUUCACUUUCACUUACUUACCAAAUCCAGUCAGCUAGUAUAGCCAACUCAAACACUCGGCUCAAACACCCGGCUCACACCUGCCUAUGACUAUCAAACACAGGAACUCUUCCAAGUCAAGCGGGACUGGACAUAUUGGUACAGGAUGGACAGGCACCUCCUCAGAGCAGAACCCCUGACUUUUCUUCUCUCUGGGAUUGAUGACCAAAGCAGAACGAUAACAAAAGAUCAGGAUGGAAACAGCUGUUCUUGUAGGCCAAUUGAGUCAACAAUCAAUAAAUGAAAUGGGAGCGUCAAACUGUGUCACCUGGAGUGUAUUCAUUCUAAAUGGGGCUCUUUAUUCAAAUAAAGAAAUAUGUAAAGUACCCCGCCCUUUCAACAACACCAGUUUCUUCCAACAACCAUAUUUUCGGAUAUCAAUUGACAUGAGGAUGGAAUUUAUGGCAACAUAAGGUCCUACUGCUUUUAGCGGCUCAACAAAACCUGGGUGAAAUCCACUGGUGACAAGCCUCAUCAUGAUAGAUAGACCACGCAGACGGACAGCACGGCCAUCACCACUGCCACGCUGCACAGCACCAGCACCAUGAAAAUCUGGCUGCGCUCGCAGCACUGCUGGCUUUGGGGACCUGCCUCCUCGUCCGUGGACAAGAGGCCCAAUGAGGCGCUGUCCGUGCUGGCCGGUUCGGCGUACUGGGGCCCGCGGGCAUCUACCAUCCAGCGCAGGACGUUGACCUUCUCCUCCAUGUCCUCCAGCAUGACAUCCACACGGGCAAUCUCCUCCUCCAGCUGGCUCUGCUCCAGAUCCUCCAGGCUGGCAGGAACCUGGUCCUCGGCACGGGUCAGGUCUGCCAAGCUGAGGGCCCGUGCUGUCACCUCACUGGUUUCCCCUGGAAAGUGGGAGAAGAGACAUGUGAGAAGAAGAGCUAGCCACGAAUGUUAAUAAGGUUACAUCAGCUUGUGGAUGCCCAGACUGUGAUCUAGACUAUAUGGAUGUAGACUGUAUGGGUGUAGACUAUACGGAUGCUUUUUUUUCAUUAUUCCUCUCUAAUCAGGGACUGAUGUAUACCUGAGACAAUAGGUGGGUGCAAGUAAUGAUCAGGUAGAACAGAAAACCAGCAGUACUUCGGACCGCCGUAGGUUAAGAUUUGAAUAACCCUGCUAUAGAGCUAAAGAGUGGCCGGUGGGUUUUUAUUAACUGCAGUUUAGGAUAGGUUUUGUGUGGAAACAAUAUGACAAAUUGCCCAUCUGAGUGUGGCACUUGCUAACCUUGUAUGCCAGUCUGCACUAAGGUGUUGUUAUUGAUCAGGGAGAAGUUGGAACCCAUGUUGAAGACUUUGCACAUGUCUGCGUGGAGGAGUUCCAGACUGGAGGUGAAGGCCACCCAGAGCAGUUCCAUCUCCUGUCUCUCCCCCUGGGGCAGUGUCUUAUCCCGUAGCCGUGCCGUGAGGUGGUGACGGCUGGCCACCGCUAACUUCUGGGCCUUCUCCCGCGUUAGCCGCAGCUCGUCACGCAGGUGCAAGCUGUCCGUGCACCCACCCACACACGAGGCCAGGUGGCGGUAACAUGCCACCACCUGUUGGCCAAUAGGGGAAAAAUAUUAUGUACAGAUCACUCAAGUAAAAACGAAACAAUUCAUACCGUAAUAUCAUUUUCAUACAAUUACUAAGGGUUGACUGAUUAGACACAAUAUACAGCAUUUGUAUUGUAUUGUCUAAAUCUGUGAGAAUAGAUGAUGUGUGCUGGAAACAAUUGUAGGACUGUAGGAGAUAGAGAGACACAAUGGUGGUGAAUUGUUGUCUUUGCUUAGAUCUGCUGAUUUGAUUUGAUUUGACAAUUUUAAAUACAUGAAAAUGUUACCCCUUGCAACAGAUACAUAUACCAAAAUCUGUCGUCAAGGAUAUAAACACAAUAUCGUCUAAAUCCAUUGUGUCUGUAGGUCAGGAGACAAGCAAUAGUCCUUCAUGAAAAAUGUGCCGUGUUUUGUAAACACCACUGGUCUGCAAAUGGUCUUAGGUUAAAUGUAUGUAUUUACAAACUGCGUAAUUUUGUGGUGUGGGUGAGAUUAUAAAAGACAGUGGUCGAUUGUGUAAAAACGUAUGAGGGUUUCAGUUUAAAACCAGAAACAAGAUGCACUUUUUUUUGUUGCCUUAUUCUAAUACUGUGUCACAUAUAAGUUGUCUGACGGACAUGAUGCUUAAGAUCGGCAUAGGUAUGUAGCAGAAAUGACUAUUAAAUACUGGUAAACAAUUCACUUCAAUUUUUAUUUGAUAAUUCAAAAUCACUCCCACUCCCUCUCCCUCCUUUAGAUGAGGCCAUGCCACAUACAUUUCUCCAACCUCAUCCCUCAGCUUUAGAAGCUGGGCUGCCAUUGAGCUAAAUCACACAUU
Molecule: long non-coding RNA, 2561 nt
Organism: Oncorhynchus masou masou (cherry salmon)
Lineage: Eukaryota; Metazoa; Chordata; Actinopteri; Salmoniformes; Salmonidae
Exons: 3
Source: RefSeq, a predicted model, not a curated record